This 789-nucleotide ribosomal RNA is filed under the name uncultured bacterium. Its description in RNAcentral is "bacterial SSU rRNA". It matches the Rfam family "Bacterial small subunit ribosomal RNA", at positions 8 to 796 of the family's 1533-position model. The record is from RNAcentral.
AGAGUUUGAUCAUGGCUCAGAUUGAACGCUGGCGGCAUGCCUUACACAUGCAAGUCGAACGGUAACGCGGGGCAACCUGGCGACGAGUGGCGAACGGGUGAGUAAUACAUCGGAACGUGCCCAGUAGUGGGGGAUAGCCCGGCGAAAGCCGGAUUAAUACCGCAUACGACCUACGGGUGAAAGCAGGGGAUCGCAAGACCUUGCGCUUUUGGAGCGGCCGAUGUCAGAUUAGGUAGUUGGUGGGGUAAAAGCCUACCAAGCCUACGAUCUGUAGCUGGUCUGAGAGGACGACCAGCCACACUGGGACUGAGACACGGCCCAGACUCCUACGGGAGGCAGCAGUGGGGAAUUUUGGACAAUGGGCGCAAGCCUGAUCCAGCCAUGCCGCGUGCGGGAAGAAGGCCUUCGGGUUGUAAACCGCUUUUGUCAGGGAAGAAACGCUCUGGGCUAAUACCCCGGGGUAAUGACGGUACCUGAAGAAUAAGCACCGGCUAACUACGUGCCAGCAGCCGCGGUAAUACGUAGGGUGCAAGCGUUAAUCGGAAUUACUGGGCGUAAAGCGUGCGCAGGCGGUCUUGCAAGACAGAUGUGAAAUCCCCGGGCUCAACCUGGGAACUGCAUUUGUGACUGCAAGGCUGGAGUACGGUAGAGGGGGAUGGAAUUCCGCGUAGCAGUGAAAUGCGUAGAUAUGCGGAGGAACACCGAUGGCGAAGGCAAUCCCCUGGACCUGUACUGACGCUCAUGCACGAAAGCGUGGGGAGCAAACAGGAUUAGAUACCCUAGUAGUCC